This is a long non-coding RNA of Ochotona curzoniae (black-lipped pika), 1560 nucleotides long. RefSeq lists it as uncharacterized. The record is from RefSeq and is a predicted model, not a curated record. Lineage: Eukaryota; Metazoa; Chordata; Mammalia; Lagomorpha; Ochotonidae. The transcript has 2 exons.
UGGAGUUAGGAGACUUGUCCCUUGCCUAAGUAUUUUCUUCCUCUCCUAAUUUUAUCGCCUUGCUAAGGAAGUCAAAAGCAGACUAAUUAAGUCCGAGCUAAAGGGCAAGUACUUGGACUGCCUGGCCGACUGCCCGGAGCCGCCAAGAUAACGGGACUUGCAGGAAAUUAAACUCAUCUUGCAGAGGAGCCGAGCCUAUGACGACGGAUGCAGUUCCUCCCACCCUACGCAUGGCUGGCAGCUGCGUGAAUGCUGUGGCCUGUGUCUCCUGCCCCAAAGGACACGGGAGUCUGAGCUCUCCUGCCGUGCCCUGGGCCCUCCAGCUGUUGAUGGGGCAGGACGUCUCCAGUGCUACUUCUGCUCUCACUCUCUCCACCCCUCUGUCACCAAGAGAAGCAGCGAAGGGUCCUGUUCACAGCUCCCUGCCAUUUCCUUUCCACCUUCAUCGUACCCAUUGGCUGCAUGAGAUGGUGGUUUCUGUGCAGCCAUUGUCACCUGCGAUACCUACAGGCAUGAUUCAGCGGGUGCCCGCCUGUCCCAUCACUGCUGGUUUUCUGCUUCCUUGCCUCCCGCCUUCUUACCGCGGGUGCUACCUGUCCCGUUCACCCACGCUGCAGCCCCUCUGUUGCGAGGAUGAAAGAACGGCUGUGACAGUCAUGUGCCACAACCUAACACCCGACUCAGCCUCGGGCCUCAUGCAUGAUGGUGGACCUCUAAUAUUAUCACGGAACUAGACAGCCCCAUUACUCUGUGCCGUGGUGGAGGUCAGACUACCACAGCCCAACUCAAUGUAUGCACAUGUGUGUGGAGGUGCUGCACACCCAGUCACUGGACAAUGGUCAAAGACAAGUUUGCCAACUCAGGAGUUUACUGUACCAUACUGCUAAACUGUACUGCACUAUAACCCUUUGCCUUACUCUUUCAGACCACAUUUCUACUUAGUAACACUCUGCUGUGCUCCACGUAGCAGGCCUUGCCUCUCUUCUUAUGUUUGCAUCUUGUUUGUUCAACGUGGUGCUGGCAGCAGUAGACUGUACACCACGUACAGGGGGCCUUCAAAAAUGCUUGAUGGAAAUGGGAUUGAAAGGCAGGCUUAUUUUGGUGCAAAGAUGGGUUGCAAUUCAUGCAGCAUUUGUUCAUAAUACAUGUAGGUGGACUUUAUGAGAGGCAUGGGUUUCAUUUUUUUUUUUUUGCAACCAAAAGACACCUAAUUUUAAAUCUCAUUUUCCACGAACUUUUUGCAGUCCCAUGGGCUAGCCUAGGCAUGCACUGGGCUAGACUGUCCUGGUUUGUGUCAGCACACACAUGAUGUUCUUGCUGCAAUGAGAUUCCCUAAAGAUGCAUUUAUCAAUAUCCCCUGUGUAUAACACACUCCGUGACAGGUCAUCAGGCUGUGGCCAUCUCCUUUCAUUUGUGUGCUGUCUGGGUCACUUUCUCAUCUCAGCGGUGGAGUUAGUAGCUGCAAAAUCUGAGGGGUCCUCCACCUGCCUUUUAUGGGAAUUGUGUCCACCCAUCUGCCUGAUGCACUGGGACAGGCAGGCAUUGGUUGGUAGAAUAUAA